RNAcentral lists this ribosomal RNA (253 nucleotides) under uncultured bacterium. RNAcentral describes it as "partial 16S ribosomal RNA". It matches the Rfam family "Bacterial small subunit ribosomal RNA", at positions 524 to 776 of the family's 1533-position model. The record is from RNAcentral.
UACGUAGGGUCCGAGCGUUGUCCGGAUUCAUUGGGCGUAAAGGGCUCGUAGGCGGCUGCUCAAGUCGAAUGUGAAAACUCGAGGCUCAACCUCGAGCCUGCAUUCGAUACAGGGCGGCUAGAGUCUGGUAGGGGGAUCUGGAAUUCCUGGUGUAGCGGUGGAAUGCGCAGAUAUCAGGAGGAACACCGGUGGCGAAGGCGGGAUCCUGGGCCAGUACUGACGCUGAUGAGCGAAAGCGUGGGGAGCAAACAGG